Long non-coding RNA from Acanthopagrus latus (yellowfin seabream), 1967 nucleotides. RefSeq lists it as uncharacterized. Lineage: Eukaryota; Metazoa; Chordata; Actinopteri; Spariformes; Sparidae. The record is from RefSeq and is a predicted model, not a curated record. The transcript has 4 exons.
GUGUCCCCCUCAGAACCAUAACCUCUCCACCUGACCAGGUACUCCAACUUCCCCUUCCUGUUCCUCCUCCUGUCCACAAUCCGCUCCACCUGCAGGACAACAGCCAGCAACAUCAUCAUCGUUGUCGGCACCAUGAUCACGUGACCACAGUUUCUUCCGACGCUGCGGUGAUGGAGCUGACAGUGUGUCGCCCUCGCCGUCAUCGUCCUCACUCAUGUUAGAUCGGGCCUUACAGCAGAGGUAGCAGAAGAAGAUGGCGAUGGCGAGUGGGAAGCUGACCAGGAAGCAGCCAAACAGCGGAGCUUGGCUGAACAGCGGCUGGACAGACGGAGAAUGGAGAGAGGUCAGAGGUCCGUCAGACAGGAAACAGGACAGAACCCCAUCCAGGAAGUCCAGCAGGUGGCGCUCCGUCUCCACAGCGCCCGGGGGCAGGAAGUAGCCAUCAUUGGACAGAUUAACCACAAUCAAGGAGGGCAGGGUCACCUCGCUGAAAGUAACAGACCAAUCAGAAAUGUUCACAGAUUAAGUGGCAGGAAAAUGGAUGAAUGAAUCUCCGAAAGGCCAAGACGAAUCUCUGCCACCUGAUUGACAUACAGGACGGCCAGUCUGAGAUCUCAAAAACCCAGAGCACCCCACUUCCAUGCAGAAUGGGAGGAGGACUUUUAUUUCACUGUCUUUUUCAAAGUGCGUUUGUCUGAUUUGUCAAACUACCAUCACUGUUCCGAGGAAGGGGGAUGUUGAGAGGCACUUUCAAACUGUUCAUAAAACGUACGACACUGACUUUCCUCUGAAAAUCAAGCUGAGAAGAAGAAAGGUGAGGGAACUAAAAUCACAACAGUCGUUUUUCACACAGCUGAAUUCACAAGCAAAGGCCGAUACGAAGCAUCGUUACAGGUGAGUCACUCUAUUAUUAAGCAUACGAAGUCCUUCCAAGAUGGAGAGAUGAUAAAAGAGGCUUUCAUUGAGGCAGCUGACUCCUUGUUUCAGGAUUUUAAAAACAAACCAGAAAUAUUAUUGUUAAUCAAAGCUCUACAGCUAUCAAGAAUUACAGUGACACAGUGCUGUGAAGUAAUGGCGGAGGAUUUGACACUGCAGCUUCAGAGAGACAUCGCAGACUGCAAGUGUUUCUCGCUGCAGUUAGACGAGUCUACAGACACCAGAGAUACAGCCCAGCUGUGUGUUUUUAUUUGGAUGGUGUCAUGAUAUGGUGUUAUUCGGAUGAUAUUACUCAAGAAGAGGAGCCCAUGAAACAACGCACGCAGGGAGAGUUCAUUUUUCAGUCAUUCAAAAAUUGUGUCUAUAAAACCAGCAGCUCCCAGUGUGCAAACUGUGUGCAGUACUGAUGGCUGUUUGUCACCUAUGUGCAUUAACACAAUGCAUAACUGAUAUUGAGAGUAAUGUACAUUACUCUCAAUAUCAGUUAUGCAUUGUGUUAUAUAAAGAAUACUCAGUAUAUGUAUAAAUAAGCAGAUGUUUAGUAUUUUUUAUUAGGCCGAUCAUUUUGAAAGUAGCUUUUAAGCUAACAAAGUGUGGGCACUCCUGGGCCAGAAGAACCAUUAACGACAGAGACAAUAAGGACUGCAAACCUGCAGUUCCUGUAACGGCCACCAGAGGCUCCACCAGUCAGUCAGUCCAUAUUAAAUGUGUUUCCAGUAGAAACAAACAUGUUCACAGCUGGUUUCUGUAGCUCACAUAUCCCUUCAUUACAACUUUUAUAUGGGUUAACCCUAACCUAAUCAGAGGGUGUGGCCUCUCUGAGUGACAGGUCGCUGUGAGCCGUCUGCUGCGUCCCCUCAGAUAAUUCAUUAGUGUUCUUCACCACGUGGUGUCUUUGUAGAGAGUUUUGUUAGGUAGAGUCCGCUGCUACCAAGAUGGAGGCAGCCUGUACCAUCCUUCACACUUCAGUCUGAGUCCUCAGACACCUGUGGGUGAUGUCAUGGUGGCUCCACCCACUGUUUCUACAGGUA